Long non-coding RNA from Belonocnema kinseyi, 761 nucleotides. RefSeq lists it as uncharacterized. The transcript is spliced from 2 exons. The record is from RefSeq and is a predicted model, not a curated record. NCBI's taxonomy places the organism in Eukaryota, Metazoa, Arthropoda, Insecta, Hymenoptera, Cynipidae.
CUUCCUGUCAAUUUGCGGCCGUGUUGCUCGCAAUUGCAUAGGAAAUGCCGUAUUUUUAUUAAAAAAUAAACUUUUGAACGGUAUAGCGAAGUGUUUGUGAGUAAAAAUGUAAGUAGAUAAUACGAUGCCAAUAAUUUUGGGAGAAAAAAAGUUGGAGCGCAUAAGAGCUGCUGCUACGGAAUGUGUAAAAGUAGUAGUCGCAGUAAAGCAAUUUUUAUUUUAUUUCAAUCCUAAACCAUGCCUACAAUUUCGAAAGGCAGAAAUUAAUAAUACGAGUAUCAAAUUCCACUUAAAACGCCUGAAGCGUGCAGGAAAUGCAAUAAAUGGGUGAAGUUGUGUGAACGUAAAGAUUCCAAGUUAAAAUCAACCAGGAACGUCACAAAAGAUGAAUCUAUUUGUUCUUUACACUUCUCUGGAGAAUCUGGACCUACAGAAGAGCACCUAAAUUCGAUAGAAUGUCGACCGAAAACUAUAAAAGAGAUAGUAAAAAAAGCCUAGAAGGAGCUCAGAGCAAAAGUACACUAGAAUUUCUUAUUGAAUUCUGAGGAAUCAACUUCAAGUUUUUUCGCUGGAGAAAAAAGAGCGGAGAAACAAAUUCAACUGAUGUAGAAUUCAAUGAAGUCGAAGCAUUAUCUGAUUUUGAGCCAACUUUUUCUUCUGAGAUGCAGGGCAUGGGCAUGGAAUCUCUCUUUACCUCACUUUUGUCUCCCGUACUAUUUGUUAUGUAAAUUAAUGAAGGAAUAAAACAAUCUUUCGUAAUA